AUUGAUUGCCGGGGGAGCCCAAAGGGCUGAGAGUGCUGAAAGCAGACCCCAUGAACCUGAUCCGGUUAGGACCGGCGUAGGGACGGCCAGUGAGUGCGCCU
RNAcentral lists this non-coding RNA (101 nucleotides) under Mesotoga prima MesG1.Ag.4.2. RNAcentral describes it as "Thermotogales bacterium MesG1.Ag.4.2 TPP riboswitch aptamer (THI element)". It matches the Rfam family "TPP riboswitch aptamer (THI element)". From Rfam's summary of the family: Vitamin B(1) in its active form thiamin pyrophosphate (TPP) is an essential coenzyme that is synthesised by coupling of pyrimidine and thiazole moieties in bacteria. The record is from Rfam by way of RNAcentral. RNAcentral also lists the same sequence under 2 other names. Lineage: Bacteria; Thermotogati; Thermotogota; Thermotogae; Kosmotogales; Kosmotogaceae.